RNAcentral lists this ribosomal RNA (352 nucleotides) under uncultured fungus. Its description in RNAcentral is "SSU rRNA". It matches the Rfam family "Eukaryotic small subunit ribosomal RNA", at positions 20 to 371 of the family's 1831-position model. Lineage: Eukaryota; Fungi. The record is from RNAcentral.
GUAGUCAUAUGCUUGUCUCAAAGAUUAAGCCAUGCAUGUCUGAGUAUAAACAACUUUAUACCGUGAAACUGCGAAUGGCUCAUUAAAUCAGUUAUAGUUUAUUUGAUAAUGCCUUACUACAUGGAUAACCGUAGUAAUUCUAGAGCUAAUACAUGCGAAAAAACCCGACUUCUGGAAGGGUUGUAUUUAUUAGAUAAAAAACCAAUACGGGGCAACCCGGUUUUUGGUGAGUCAUAAUAACUUUUCGGACCGCAUGGCCUCGUGCCGGCGGCGAUUCAUUCAAAUUUCUGCCCUAUCAACUUUCGAUGGUACGGUAUUGGCCUACCAUGGUUACAACGGGUAACGGGGAAUA